CCAUUCGUGCUUCUCUCCGGCCCUCCUUCCUGGUAAUCUCUCAUCAUACCCCAAUUUCUGCAGCGGGAAAAGGUCCUUACCUCAUUAGAAGCUGAGGAUGAUCGCAAGUGGUCUUCCUAUGCAACCGUAGCAUGAUAGAAAGCAACCCUCCUCUUCUCUCUCAGGUAAAAACUUGAUAUUCUCUCCUUCGUAGGAAAAGAAAUAUUACUGUUUCUUUGUUUUCCGGGGUGCUAUUAGAAGCUGAGGAUGAUCGCAAAGUACUCAUUAGUUCAUUAGUGUCUAAGGGGAUCAUUGAGGAUGAGGAGAUGGACAAUGAUGUUGUUGUUAAUGCUAGUGGGGAGACAUUAUUCUCCGCUAAAUGAUGUUAUAUGAUUUCCACAACAUUACAGGUACGCUUUCAACCCGUUCUUUUGGAUUCUGUGACUUCUAGUCCCAAUUCCCGUAAAAGAUGUGUUAAUAUGUGUUUACAUCCGUUUAUCUUGUACCUAGCUUGUUUUUGCAAAUUGAAAUGUUGAUUUCAGCAUUUGAUGGUUCUAAAUACUUGAACAGAAGCUUGCCUUUUCUUUUGCAAUUAGUCAUGGUUAUUCCCGCAACUAAAGUUUCCAGGGAGAUUUUCAGUAUUUCCAUUUUGGUUGUUUCAUCUUCCAGCGUUGUUGUUAACCUCGAUCAGUUGUGCAUCUAGUUUCAUUACUACAU
Molecule: long non-coding RNA, 696 nt
Filed under: Populus trichocarpa (black cottonwood)
Lineage: Eukaryota; Viridiplantae; Streptophyta; Magnoliopsida; Malpighiales; Salicaceae
Description: long non-coding RNA (PTRI_LNC000066)
Source: RNAcentral